This 380-nucleotide ribosomal RNA is filed under the name uncultured bacterium. RNAcentral's name for it is "partial 16S ribosomal RNA". It matches the Rfam family "Bacterial small subunit ribosomal RNA", at positions 338 to 732 of the family's 1533-position model. The record is from RNAcentral.
CCUACGGGAGGCAGCAGUGGGGAAUAUUGGACAAUGGGGGGAACCCUGAUCCAGCGACGCCGCGUGAGUGAGUACGUAUUUCGGUAUGUAAAGCUCUAUCAGCAGGGAAGAAAGAAAUGACGGUACCUGACUAAGAAGCCCCGGCUAACUACGUGCCAGCAGCCGCGGUAAUCCGUAGGGGGCAAGCGUUAUCCGGAUUUACUGGGUGUAAGGGGAGCGUAGGCGGCGAUGCAAGUCUGAGGUGAAAGGCGGGGGCCCAACCCCCGGACUGCUUUGGAAACUGUAUGGCUGGAGUGCGCGAGAGGUAAGUGGAAUUCGUGGUGUAGCGGUGAAAUGCAUAGAUAUUAGGCGGAACACCAGUGGCGAAGGUGGCUUACUGG